CUGCGAAUGGCUCAUUAUAUAAGUUAUCGUUUAUUUGAUAGUACCUUACUACUUGGAUAACCGUGGUAAUUCUAGAGCUAAUACAUGCUGAAAAUCCCGACUUCGGAAGGGAUGUAUUUAUUAGAUUAAAAACCAAUGCCCUCUGGGCUCCUUGGUGAUUCAUAAUAACUUUUCGAAUCGCACGGCCUUGCGCCGGCGAUGGUUCAUUCAAAUUUCUUCCCUAUCAACUUUCGAUGUUUGGGUAUUGGCCAAACAUGGUUACAACGGGUAACGGAGGGUUAGGGCUCGACCCCGGAGAAGGAGCCUGAGAAACGGCUACUACAUCCAAGGAAGGCAGCAGGCGCGCAAAUUACCCAAUCCCGAUUCGGGGAGGUAUUGACAAUAAAUACUGAUACAGGGCUCUUUUGGGUCUUGUAAUUGGAAUGAGUACAAUUUAAAUCUCUUAACGAGGAACAAUUGGAGGGCAAGUCUGGUGCCAGCAGCCGCGGUAAUUCCAGCUCCAAUAGCGUAUAUUAAAGUUGUUGUGGUUAAAAAGCUCGUAGUUGAACCUUGGGCCUGGCUGGCCGGUCCGCCUCACCGCGUGUACUGGUCCGGCCGGGUCUUUCCCUCUGUGGAACCUCAUGCCCUUCACUGGGUGUGGCGGGGAAACAGGACUUUUACUUUGAAAAAAUUAGAGUGCUCCAGGCAGGCCUAUGCUCGAAUACAUUAGCAUGGAAUAAUAAAAUAGGACGUGUGGUUCUAUUUUGUUGGUUUCUAGGACCGCCGUAAUGAUUAAUAGGGACAGUCGGGGGCAUCAGUAUUCAAUUGUCAGAGGUGAAAUUCUUGGAUUUAUUGAAGACUAACUACUGCGAAAGCAUUUGCCAAGGAUGUUUUCAUUAAUCAGGAACGAAAGUUAGGGGAUCGAAGACGAUCAGAUACCGUCGUAGUCUUAACCAUAAACUAUGCCGACUAGGGAUCGGACGAUGUUAUUUUUUGACGCGUUCGGCACCUUACGAGAAAUCAAAGUGCUU
Molecule: ribosomal RNA, 1010 nt
Filed under: Cordyceps sp. BCC19481
Lineage: Eukaryota; Fungi; Ascomycota; Sordariomycetes; Hypocreales; Cordycipitaceae
Description: SSU rRNA
Rfam family: Eukaryotic small subunit ribosomal RNA
Source: RNAcentral